Molecule: ribosomal RNA, 450 nt
Filed under: uncultured bacterium
Lineage: Bacteria
Description: partial 16S ribosomal RNA
Rfam family: Bacterial small subunit ribosomal RNA
Source: RNAcentral
GUGGGGAAUUUUGGACAAUGGGCGCAAGCCUGAUCCAGCAAUGCCGCGUGUGUGAAGAAGGCCUUCGGGUUGUAAAGCACUUUUGGCAGGAAAGAAAUAGCGCGUGCUAAUACCAUGCGCGAAUGACGGUACCUGCAGAAUAAGCACCGGCUAACUACGUGCCAGCAGCCGCGGUAAGACGUAGGGUGCAAGCGUUAAUCGGAAUUACUGGGCGUAAAGCGUGCGCAGGCGGUUUUGUAAGACAGGGGUGAAAUCCCCGGGCUCAACCUGGGAACUGCACUUGUGACUACAAGGCUAGAGUGUGUCAGAGGGUAGUGGAAUUCCGCGUGUAGCAGUGAAAUGCGUAGAGAUGCGGAGGAACACCGAUGGCGAAGGCAGCCUCCUGGGAUAACACUGACGCUCAGGCACGAAAGCGUGGGGAGCAAACAGGAUUAGAUACCCGAGUAGUCC